GAUGAACGCUGGCGGCGUGCCUAAUACAUGCAAGUCGAGCGAACAGACGAGGAGCUUGCUCCUCUGACGUUAGCGGCGGACGGGUGAGUAACACGUGGAUAACCUACCUAUAAGACUGGGAUAACUUCGGGAAACCGGAGCUAAUACCGGAUAAUAUAUUGAACCGCAUGGUUCAAUAGUGAAAGACGGUUUUGCUGUCACUUAUAGAUGGAUCCGCGCCGCAUUAGCUAGUUGGUAAGGUAACGGCUUACCAAGGCAACGAUGCGUAGCCGACCUGAGAGGGUGAUCGGCCACACUGGAACUGAGACACGGUCCAGACUCCGACGGGAGGCAGCAGUAGGGAAUCUUCCGCAAUGGGCGAAAGCCUGACGGAGCAACGCCGCGUGAGUGAUGAAGGUCUUCGGAUCGUAAAACUCUGUUAUUAGGGAAGAACAAAUGUGUAAGUACCUAUGCACGUCUUGACGGUACCUAAUCAGAAAGCCACGGCUAACUACGUG
This 497-nucleotide ribosomal RNA is filed under the name uncultured bacterium. RNAcentral describes it as "partial 16S ribosomal RNA". It matches the Rfam family "Bacterial small subunit ribosomal RNA", at positions 28 to 507 of the family's 1533-position model. The record is from RNAcentral.